CAGGAUGAACGCUGGCGGCGUGCCUAACGCAUGCAAGUCGAACGAAGCGCUAUUUCGGAAGCUUUUCGGAGUGAAAGAGAAAGUGACUGAGUGGCGGACGGGUGAGUAACGCGUGGGCAACCUACCCCACACAGGGGGACAACAGCUGGAAACGGCUGCUAAUACCGCAUAGGCGCACAGCUUCGCAUGAAGGAGUGUGGAAAGCAAUAGCGGUGUGGGAUGGGCCCGCGUCUGAUUAGCUAGUUGGUGAGGCAGAGGCUCACCAAGGCGACGAUCAGUAGCCGGCCUGAGAGGGCGGACGGCCACAUUGGGACUGAGACACGGCCCAGACUCCUACGGGAGGCAGCAGUGGGGGAUAUUGCACAAUGGGGGAAACCCUGAUGCAGCGACGCCGCGUGAGCGAAGAAGUAUUUCGGUAUGUAAAGCUCUAUCAGCAGGGAAGAAAAUGACGGUACCUGAGUAAGAAGCCCCGGCUAAAUACGUGCCAGCAGCCGCGGUAAUACGUAUGG
RNAcentral lists this ribosomal RNA (509 nucleotides) under uncultured bacterium. RNAcentral describes it as "bacterial SSU rRNA". It matches the Rfam family "Bacterial small subunit ribosomal RNA", at positions 25 to 532 of the family's 1533-position model. The record is from RNAcentral.